GACAUAGGUCGCAAACGUUAUCCGGAAUUAUUGGGCGUAAAGGAUGCGUAGAUGGUUCAGUAAGUUACUGGUGGGAAAUCGAGGCCCAACCUCGUGGAAGUCAGUAAUACUGCGUGACUUGAGUACUGGAGAGGUGAGGGGAAUUCUCGGUGUAAGGGUGAAAUCUGUAGAUAUCGAGAGGAACACCAGUGGCGAAGGCGCCUCACUGGCCAGUUACUGACACUGAGCUGCGAAAGCAAGGGGAGCAAACAGG
RNAcentral lists this ribosomal RNA (253 nucleotides) under uncultured bacterium. RNAcentral's name for it is "partial 16S ribosomal RNA". It matches the Rfam family "Bacterial small subunit ribosomal RNA", at positions 524 to 776 of the family's 1533-position model. The record is from RNAcentral.